RNAcentral lists this ribosomal RNA (591 nucleotides) under uncultured bacterium. Its description in RNAcentral is "partial 16S ribosomal RNA". It matches the Rfam family "Bacterial small subunit ribosomal RNA", at positions 355 to 1375 of the family's 1533-position model. The record is from RNAcentral.
UGGGGAAUUUUGGACAAUGGGCGAAAGCCUGAUCCAGCAAUGCCGCGUGUGUGAAGAAGGCCUUCGGGUUGUAAAGCACUUUUGUCCGGAAAGAAAUCCUCUGGUUAAUACUCGGGGGAUGACGGUACCGGAAGAAUAAGCACCGGCUAACUACGUGCCAGCAGCCGCGGUAAUACGUAGGGUGCAAGCGUUAAUCGGAAUUACUGGGCGUAAAGCGUGCGCAGGCGGUUUUGUAAGACGGAUGUGAAAUCCCCGGGCUUAAACCUGGGGAAACUGCAUUGCGUGACUGCAAGGCUAGAGUAUGGCAGAGGGGGGUAGAAUUCCACGUGUAGCAGUGAAAUGCGUAGAGAUGUGGAGGAAUACCGAUGGCGAAGGCAGCCCCCUGGGCCAAAUACUGACGCUCAUGCACGAAAAGCGUGGGGAGCAAAACAGGAUUAGAUACCCUGGUAGUCCACGCCCUAAAACGAUGUCAACUAGUUGUUGGGGAUUCAUUUCCUUAGUAACGUAGCUAACGCGUGAAGUUGACCGCCUGGGGAGUACGGUCGCAAGAUUAAAAACUCAAAUGAAUUGACGGGGUCAUAGCUGUUUCCU